GGGGAUAUAGCUCAGUUGGUAGAGUGCUUGCCUUGCAUGCACAAAGUCCUGGGUUCAAUCCCCAGCCCCU
RNAcentral lists this transfer RNA (70 nucleotides) under Ictidomys tridecemlineatus (thirteen-lined ground squirrel). Its description in RNAcentral is "Spermophilus tridecemlineatus (thirteen-lined ground squirrel) tRNA". It matches the Rfam family "tRNA". Rfam says of the family: Transfer RNA (tRNA) molecules are approximately 80 nucleotides in length. Their secondary structure includes four short double-helical elements and three loops (D, anti-codon, and T loops). Lineage: Eukaryota; Metazoa; Chordata; Mammalia; Rodentia; Sciuridae. The record is from Rfam by way of RNAcentral.